RNAcentral lists this ribosomal RNA (497 nucleotides) under uncultured bacterium. RNAcentral's name for it is "partial 16S ribosomal RNA". It matches the Rfam family "Bacterial small subunit ribosomal RNA", at positions 28 to 507 of the family's 1533-position model. The record is from RNAcentral.
GAUGAACGCUGGCGGCGUGCCUAAUACAUGCAAGUCGAGCGAACAGACGAGGAGCUUGCUCCUCUGACGUUAGCGGCGGACGGGUGAGUAACACGUGGAUAACCUACCUAUAAGACUGGGAUAACUUCGGGAAACCGGAGCUAAUACCGGAUAAUAUAUUGAACAGCAUGGUUCAAUAGUGAAAGACGGUUUUGCUGUCAAUUAUAGAUGGAUCCGCGCCGCAUUAGCUAGUUGGUAAGGUAACGGCUUACCAAGGCGACGAUGCGUAGCCGACCUGAGAGGGUGAUCGGCCACACUGGAACUGAGACACGGUCCAGACUCCUACGGGAGGCAGCAGUAGGGAAUCUUCCGCAAUGGGCGAAAGCCUGACGGAGCAACGCCGCGUGAGUGAUGAAGGUCUUCGGAUCGUAAAACUCUGUUAUUAGGGAAGAACAAAUGUGUAAGUAACUAUGCACGUCUUGACGGUACCUAAUCAGAAAGCCACGGCUAACUACGUG